RNAcentral lists this ribosomal RNA (494 nucleotides) under uncultured bacterium. Its description in RNAcentral is "bacterial SSU rRNA". It matches the Rfam family "Bacterial small subunit ribosomal RNA", at positions 34 to 507 of the family's 1533-position model. The record is from RNAcentral.
CGCUGGCGGCGUGCCUAAUACAUGCAAGUCGAGCGGAAUGAUGAAGAAGCUUGCUUCUUCUGAUUUUAGCGGCGGACGGGUGAGUAACACGUGGGCAACCUACCUUGUAGAUUGGGAUAACUCCGGGAAACCGGGGCUAAUACCGAAUAAUCCAUUUUGCUUCAUGGCGAGAUGUUGAAAGACGGUUUCGGCUGUCACUACAAGAUGGGCCCGCGGCGCAUUAGCUAGUUGGUAGGGUAAUGGCCUACCAAGGCGACGAUGCGUAGCCGACCUGAGAGGGUGAUCGGCCACACUGGGACUGAGACACGGCCCAGACUCCUACGGGAGGCAGCAGUAGGGAAUCUUCCACAAUGGACGAAAGUCUGAUGGAGCAACGCCGCGUGAGUGAAGAAGGUUUUCGGAUCGUAAAACUCUGUUGUAAGGGAAGAACACGUACGAGAGUAACUGCUCGUACCUUGACGGUACCUUAUUAGAAAGCCACGGCUAACUACAUG